RNAcentral lists this ribosomal RNA (614 nucleotides) under Hansenula anomala. RNAcentral's name for it is "eukaryotic LSU rRNA". It matches the Rfam family "Eukaryotic large subunit ribosomal RNA", at positions 39 to 666 of the family's 3401-position model. Lineage: Eukaryota; Fungi; Ascomycota; Saccharomycetes; Phaffomycetales; Wickerhamomycetaceae. The record is from RNAcentral.
CAUAUCAAUAAGCGGAGGAAAAGAAACCAACAGGGAUUGCCUCAGUAACGGCGAGUGAAGCGGCAAAAGCUCAAAUUUGAAAUCUAGCACCUUCGGUGUUCGAGUUGUAAUUUGAAGAUGGUAACCUUGGGUUUGGCUCUUGUCUAUGUUCCUUGGAACAGGACGUCAUAGAGGGUGAGAAUCCCGUCUGAUGAGAUGCCCAUUCCUAUGUAAGGUGCUAUCGAAGAGUCGAGUUGUUUGGGAAUGCAGCUCUAAGUGGGUGGUAAAUUCCAUCUAAAGCUAAAUAUUGGCGAGAGACCGAUAGCGAACAAGUACAGUGAUGGAAAGAUGAAAAGAACUUUGAAAAGAGAGUGAAAAAGUACGUGAAAUUGUUGAAAGGGAAGGGCAUUAGAUCAGACUUGGUGUUUUACGAUUAUCUUCUCUUCUUGAGUUGUGCACUCGUAUUUCACUGGGCCAGCAUCGAUUCGGAUGGCAAGAUAAUGGCAGUUGAAUGUGGCUUCACUUCGGUGGAGUGUUAUAGCUUCUGCUGAUAUUGCCUGUCUGGAUCGAGGGCUGCGUCUUUUGACUAGGAUGCUGGCGUAAUGAUCUAAUGCCGCCCGUCUUGAAACACGGAC